RNAcentral lists this ribosomal RNA (492 nucleotides) under uncultured bacterium. RNAcentral's name for it is "partial 16S ribosomal RNA". It matches the Rfam family "Bacterial small subunit ribosomal RNA", at positions 29 to 507 of the family's 1533-position model. The record is from RNAcentral.
AGUGAACGCUGGCGGUAGGCCUAACACAUGCAAGUCGAACGGCAGCACAGUAAGAGCUUGCUCUUACGGGUGGCGAGUGGCGUACGGGUGAGGAAUACAUCGGAAUCUACUUUUUCGUGGGGGAUAACGUAGGGAAACUUACGCUAAUACCGCAUACGACCUACGGGUGAAAGCAGUGGAUCUUCGUACCUUGCGCGAUUGACUGAGCCGAUGUCGGAUUAGCUAGUUGGGGGGGUAAAGGCCCACCAAGGCGACGAUCCGUAGCUGGUCGGAGAGGAUGAUAAGCCACACUGGAACUGAGACACGGUCAAGACUCCUACGGGAGGCAGCAGUGGGGAAUAUUGGACAAUGGGCGCAAGCCUGAUCCAGCCAGACCGCGUGGGUGAAGAAGGCCUUCGGGUUGUAAAGCCCUUUUGUUGGGAAAGAAAAGCAGCAGGUUAAUACCCCGCUGUUCUGACGGUACCCAAAGAAUAAGCACCGGCUAACUUCGUG